Picea glauca (white spruce) is the source of this 123-nucleotide non-coding RNA. The record is from Rfam. Lineage: Eukaryota; Viridiplantae; Streptophyta; Pinopsida; Pinales; Pinaceae.
ACAUGCCUACAACAUAGCGGUAAUGCCUACAACAUAGUGUUAUAACUUUGCAGUUAAGCACGCUCGGGCUAGAGUAGUACUGGGAUGGGUGACUUUCCUCGAAGUCCUAGUGUUUUACAUGCC